This 546-nucleotide ribosomal RNA is filed under the name uncultured Cryptophyta. Its description in RNAcentral is "SSU rRNA". It matches the Rfam family "Eukaryotic small subunit ribosomal RNA", at positions 607 to 1164 of the family's 1831-position model. The record is from RNAcentral. Lineage: Eukaryota; Cryptophyceae.
AAGUUGUUGCAGUUAAAAAGCUCGUAGUCGGAUGUCGGGCUCGGGCAAGCUGUCGGCCUUUGGUCGGACGGCAGGCUCGGGUCUUUCUGCCUGAGGAACCCGGUUGCUUUAACGAGUUGCCGGUGGACGCAGGUCGUUUACUUUGAAAAAAUUAGAGUGUUCAAAGCAGGCUAGCGCUUGAAUACAUUAGCAUGGAAUAAUGGAAUAGGACUUUGGUGCUAUUUUGUUGGUUUAUGGGACCGAAGUAAUGAUUAACAGGGACAGUUGGGGCCGUUUAUAUUUCGUUGUCAGAGGUGAAAUUCUUGGAUUUACGAAAGAUAAACUUCUGCGAAAGCAUUCGGCAAGGAUGUUUUCAUUGAUCAAGAACGAAAGUUAGGGGAUCGAAGACGAUCAGAUACCGUCGUAGUCUUAACCAUAAACUAUGCCGACUAGGGAUCAGUGGAUGUCAAUUUGCGACUCCAUUGGCACCUUGUGAGAAAUCAAAGUUUUUGGGUUCCGGGGGGAGUAUGGUCGCAAGGCUGAAACUUAAAGGAAUUGACGGAAGGG